RNAcentral lists this ribosomal RNA (348 nucleotides) under uncultured bacterium. RNAcentral's name for it is "partial 16S ribosomal RNA". It matches the Rfam family "Bacterial small subunit ribosomal RNA", at positions 338 to 700 of the family's 1533-position model. The record is from RNAcentral.
CCUACGGGAGGCAGCAGUUAGGAAUAUUGGGCAAUGGAGGAAACUCUGACCCAGCAACGCCGCGUGAAGGAAGAAGGUUUUCGGAUUGUAAACUUCUGAUCGGUGGGACGAAGAAAGUGACGGGACCACAGGAGAAAGCCACGGCUAACUACGUGCCAGCAGCCGCGGGAAUACGUAGGUGGCGAGCGUUGUCCGGAAUAACUGGGCGUAAAGGGAGCGUAGGUGGGUGAUGAAGGUAAAUGGGAAAGCCCAGGGCUCAACGCUGGAACUGCAUUUAAUACGGGUCGGCUAGAGUACAGGGGUGGUAACCGGCCUUUCUCGUGUAGCGGUGAAAUGCGUAGCUAUUAG